GGUUAUUAUUAAUUAGCAUUAGUCUCUCUACUAUCUUGAACAACUAUAUGUUUGAUGCAUUAACAGAUGCUGUUUAUAGUCCAUACUCCAACUCUGUCUUUCUUUGAUCAAGACAUUUGUUGUUGCUUAAGAGAGAGUGUCUUCAAGAAGGUAUGUUCCAUUUUUCAGUAUUCACAUACAUGCAUAGAUGCAAGUAGGCUAGACUAGCGCAUUUAUUUGGUUUAGAUCCUGUCUUCAUUUUGCAGGCACCUGUGGUGUAUUUUUUUAAUAUCUGAUUUUCAUGUACAAGACUGUUAACAAAAUUCUGGUGCAAAUAGGAUGUUUCUGCUGAUGCUGGUUGUUGUUAGGGGUGAUGAUGAAUAACGAUAUCGAUGAAGAAAUGCAAGAUUUUGAAGAUGAAGAGGUGUAGAUGUUUAAGUUUUUUUAAUAGGAUAUACAUUUUGAAGAUGUUAGUUUGAUGGUGAAUGAUUCACAUUAGGAUAUACAUUUAAUAUGUUAGUUUGAUUGUGAAUGAUUGACAAUAUUUAGGACAACUUUAUGUUGAUUGAUGUUAUUUUGAUACUGUAUAUAUGAAAGAUAAUCAUUUUAGUUUAAUAAUUUGUUAUGUCUUUUAUUAUUUCA
Long non-coding RNA from Trifolium pratense (red clover), 621 nucleotides. RefSeq lists it as uncharacterized. The transcript has 2 exons. The record is from RefSeq and is a predicted model, not a curated record. Lineage: Eukaryota; Viridiplantae; Streptophyta; Magnoliopsida; Fabales; Fabaceae.